GCGGGUGGGGUCCGGUGGUCGGACGCCACACUUCCGGUGUGGAGAUCGGGGUUCGAAUCCUCGCGCCCGCUCCA
Molecule: transfer RNA, 74 nt
Filed under: Propionibacterium sp.
Lineage: Bacteria; Bacillati; Actinomycetota; Actinomycetes; Propionibacteriales; Propionibacteriaceae
Description: tRNA-Gly
Rfam family: tRNA
About the family: Transfer RNA (tRNA) molecules are approximately 80 nucleotides in length. Their secondary structure includes four short double-helical elements and three loops (D, anti-codon, and T loops).
Source: RNAcentral